This is a long non-coding RNA of Diospyros lotus (date-plum), 563 nucleotides long. RefSeq lists it as uncharacterized. The record is from RefSeq and is a predicted model, not a curated record. The transcript is spliced from 3 exons. Lineage: Eukaryota; Viridiplantae; Streptophyta; Magnoliopsida; Ericales; Ebenaceae.
UCUCGCUCCUCCUCCUCUCUCGGCCACGACGCGCGAUGGUUUCCAUUUUUGUUCCUCGAUCAAUCACCAUGCUCCCUGUCACCUGUUUCUCCGUCUUCUUUCGGCCUUAGGUUUCAUACUCUCUCUCUCUCUCUCUCUCUCUGCACAAAUACACUCUCGAGUUAUCCCUCUCUAUUGCACUUUCUUCUGGUGAUCGUGAAUUUUCAUCAUACACAAAGGCGCUGAGGUUCUGCUUCUUUGCGGUACAGAGUUCAUGGAGAGAAAGUGCUAAAUAAGAAAUUUGUAAAUAGAUCAUUCCUUGCAGUUUAAUCAAGUAAUUAAUGAUGCACGAGGCAACCACUUUGUUAUACAAUUGCGACGCCAAAUUUGCAACAGUGGCCAGAUGGUAAUUUGGUUUGCACAGGCGGGACAGUGCCAUAGUAUACAAAGGCGAGUCGGCAAAGCACAGACAGGAAAUGUUUUCGGAGCUAAACAUGGCUGCCACUGGCAAUCAGCUGGUUAUUGAGGUUGAAGAACAUCGAUGUGGCGGCGGCGGCGGCAGGAUCCUGCCUUUGUCCUCUACA